UGUCGCACUAUAAACUUUGUCGCCCAAGGGGUAGUGGUAGUUACAUGAUGACACCCCUAUAACUUUGUGAGAAAUCACAAGGAUUUGGACUCUGGGGGAAGUAUGGUCGCAAGGCUGAAACUUAAAGGAAUUGACGGAAGGGCACCACCAGGAGUGGAACCUGCGGCUUAAUUUGACUCAACACGGGGAAACUUACCAGGUCCAGACACAGUGAGGAUUGACAGAUUGAUAGCUCUUUCUUGAUUUUGUGGAAAGUGGUGCAUGGCCGUUUUUAGUUGGUGGAUUGAUUUGUCUGGUUAAUUCCGUUAACGAACGAGACCUAAACCUACUAACUAGUUAAUGGUAACUUGGACUCCAUAAUAAAUUUUCAUAUGGAGACCUCGAAAUUUAUCCAAACUUCUUAGAGGGACUCUUUAUACUUAGUGAAUGGAAGUUUUAGGC
This 441-nucleotide ribosomal RNA is filed under the name Quadrulella symmetrica. RNAcentral describes it as "SSU rRNA". It matches the Rfam family "Eukaryotic small subunit ribosomal RNA", at positions 1023 to 1451 of the family's 1831-position model. The record is from RNAcentral. Lineage: Eukaryota; Tubulinea; Elardia; Arcellinida; Hyalospheniidae.